Non-coding RNA from Phrynosoma platyrhinos (Desert horned lizard), 72 nucleotides. The record is from the annotation of a GenBank genome assembly. Lineage: Eukaryota; Metazoa; Chordata; Lepidosauria; Squamata; Phrynosomatidae.
GGCAGAGUGGCAUAGUGGUUUGACCAUUGGGCUAUGAUUCCAGAGACCAGGGUUCGAUUCCCAGCUCAGCCA